Molecule: long non-coding RNA, 176 nt
Filed under: Ictidomys tridecemlineatus (thirteen-lined ground squirrel)
Lineage: Eukaryota; Metazoa; Chordata; Mammalia; Rodentia; Sciuridae
Description: lncRNA (ENSSTOG00000031348.1)
Source: RNAcentral
GAAAAGAGGAAGAAUAAGAAGAAAACAACAACAACAAAUGGAACUCAGUGAUUGACAUACAGCUUUGCCAACUUGGACAUGCACUGCCCUUGAGAAAGCAAGUUGUUUGUGGUUUUAUUGUCAGAGCAAAGAACCAGAGUCCUGCAAGUCUCAGUUCCACUGGGACAGAGGCAACU